RNAcentral lists this unclassified non-coding RNA (354 nucleotides) under Globaria promontorii. RNAcentral describes it as "Bovista promontorii sequence contains ITS1". The stretch from base 1 to 105 matches the Rfam family "5.8S ribosomal RNA", at positions 50 to 154 of the family's 154-position model. RNAcentral also lists the same sequence under 2 other names. Lineage: Eukaryota; Fungi; Basidiomycota; Agaricomycetes; Agaricales; Lycoperdaceae. The record is from RNAcentral.
GAAAUGCGAUAAGUAAUGUGAAUUGCAGAAUUCAGUGAAUCAUCGAAUCUUUGAACGCACCUUGCGCUCCUUGGUAUUCCGAGGAGCAUGCCUGUUUGAGUGUCAUUAAAUUCUCAACCCUCCAGCUUUUGCGAGUUGUGAUGGGCUUGGAUAUGGGGGUUUGCGGGCCUUUAUUAAGAGGUCGGCUCUCCUGAAAUACAUUAGCGGAACCGUUUGCAGUCCCGUCACUAGUGUGAUAAUUAUCUACACUGUGAUGAUUGCUCUCUGACUAGUUCAGCUGCUAAUAGUCCCUUGUUGGACAACAUUAAUGAACUUCUUGACCUCAAAUCAGGUAGGACUACCCGCUGAACUUAA